RNAcentral lists this non-coding RNA (25 nucleotides) under Mus musculus (house mouse). The record is from RNAcentral. Lineage: Eukaryota; Metazoa; Chordata; Mammalia; Rodentia; Muridae. RNAcentral also lists the same sequence under 1 other name.
UACAAACAGAAGAGAAGCAGGAGGC